RNAcentral lists this ribosomal RNA (433 nucleotides) under uncultured bacterium. RNAcentral describes it as "partial 16S ribosomal RNA". It matches the Rfam family "Bacterial small subunit ribosomal RNA", at positions 29 to 507 of the family's 1533-position model. The record is from RNAcentral.
AACGAACGCUGGCGGCAUGCCUAACACAUGCAAGUCGAACGAAACGUCCGGGUCUAUUGGCGCACGGGGGCGUAAGGCGUGGGAACCUGCCCUUGGGUUCGGAAUAACUCUCCGAAAGGGGUGCUAAUACCGGAUAAUGUCUUCGGACCAAAGAUUUAUCGCGUUUGGAUGGGCGCGCGUGGGAUUCGCUGGUUGGUAGGGUAAUAGCCUACCAAGGGGAGGAUCCAUAGCUGGCAUGAGAGGAUGAUCAGCAACACUGGGACUGAGACACGGCCCAGAAUCCUACGCGAGGGAGGAGUGGGGAAUAGUGGAAAAUGGGGGGAGGCCUGAUCGAGCAAGGCCGGGUGAGUGAUGAAGGCCUUAGGGAAGUAAAGCUCUUUUACCCGGGAUGAUAAUGACGGUACCGGGUGAAUAAGCCCCGGCUAACUACGUG